RNAcentral lists this ribosomal RNA (492 nucleotides) under uncultured bacterium. RNAcentral describes it as "partial 16S ribosomal RNA". It matches the Rfam family "Bacterial small subunit ribosomal RNA", at positions 29 to 507 of the family's 1533-position model. The record is from RNAcentral.
AGUGAACGCUGGCGGUAGGCCUAACACAUGCAAGUCGAACGGCAGCAUAGUAAGAGCUUGCUCUUACGGGUGGCGAGUGGCGGACGGGUGAGGAAUACAUCGGAAUCUACUUUUUCGUGGGGGAUAACGUAGGGAAACUUACGCUAAUACCGCAUACGACCUACGGGUGAAAGCGGGGGAUCUUCGGACCUUGCGCGAUUGAAUGAGCCGAUGUCGGAUUAGCUAGUUGGCGGGGUAAAGGCCCACCAAGGCGACGAUCCGUAGCUGGUCUGAGAGGAUGAUCAGCCACACUGGAACUGAGACACGGUCCAGACUCCUACGGGAGGCAGCAGUGGGGAAUAUUGGACAAUGGGCGCAAGCCUGAUCCAGCCAUACCGCGUGGGUGAAGAAGGCCUUCGGGUUGUAAAGCCCUUUUGUUGGGAAAGAAAAGCAGCAGGUUAAUACCCCGCUGUUCUGACGGUACCCAAAGAAUAAGCACCGGCUAACUUCGUG